GAUGAACGCUGGCGGCGUGCCUAAUACAUGCAAGUCGAGCGAACAGACGAGGAGCUUGCUCCUCUGACGUUAGCGGCGGACGGGUGAGUAACACGUGGAUAACCUACCUAUAAGACUGGGAUAACUUCGGGAAACCGGAGCUAAUACCGGAUAAUAUAUUGAACCGCAUGGUUCAAUAGUGAAAGACGGUUUUGCUGUCAAUUAUAGAUGGAUCCGCGCCGCAUUAGCUAGUUGGUAAGGUAACGGCUUACCAAGGCAACGAUGCGUAGCCGACCUGAGAGGGUGACCGCCCACACUGGAACUGAGACACGGUCCAGACUCCGAGGGGAGGCAGCAGUAGGGAAUCUUGCGCAAGGGGCGAAAGCCUGACGGAGCAACGCCGCGUGAGUGAUGAAGGUCUUCGGAUCGUAAAACUCUGUUAUUAGGGAAGAACAAAUGUGUAAGUAACUAUGCACGUCUUGACGGUACCUAAUCAGAAAGCCACGGCUAACUACGUG
RNAcentral lists this ribosomal RNA (497 nucleotides) under uncultured bacterium. RNAcentral describes it as "partial 16S ribosomal RNA". It matches the Rfam family "Bacterial small subunit ribosomal RNA", at positions 28 to 507 of the family's 1533-position model. The record is from RNAcentral.